RNAcentral lists this ribosomal RNA (305 nucleotides) under uncultured bacterium. RNAcentral describes it as "bacterial SSU rRNA". It matches the Rfam family "Bacterial small subunit ribosomal RNA", at positions 336 to 657 of the family's 1533-position model. The record is from RNAcentral.
UUCCUACGGGAGGCAGCAGUGGGGGAUAUUGCACAAUGGGGGAAACCCUGAUGCAGCGACGCCGCGUGGGCGAAGAAGUAUUUCGGUAUGUAAAGCCCUAUCAGCAGGGAAGAAGAAAUGACGGUACCUGAGUAAGAAGCACCGGCUAAAUACGUGCCAGCAGCCGCGGUAAUACGUAUGGUGCAAGCGUUAUCCGGAUUUAUUGGGUUUAAAGGGUGCGUAGGCGGAAUAUCAAGUCAGCGGUAAAAAUUCGGGGCUCAACCCCGUCGUGCCGUUGAAACUGAUGUUCUUGAGUGGGCGAGAAG